UGAUCCCUUAGGCUAUUCCGCACACAAUAUGUGGCGUGGGUUUUCUCCACGUAUAUGGAGG
RNAcentral lists this small RNA (61 nucleotides) under Lactobacillus acidophilus. RNAcentral's name for it is "crRNA_06". The record is from RNAcentral. Lineage: Bacteria; Bacillati; Bacillota; Bacilli; Lactobacillales; Lactobacillaceae.